CCAUAGCCCCGAUUGUAACGGCAUCCUUUUGUGUAGUGAAGCGAAACAAAAGAUAUAGUGAAAAGCGGGAAAUUGC
RNAcentral lists this small RNA (76 nucleotides) under Chryseobacterium sp. RU37D. Its description in RNAcentral is "Flavo-1 RNA". It matches the Rfam family "Flavo-1 RNA". The record is from Rfam by way of RNAcentral. Lineage: Bacteria; Pseudomonadati; Bacteroidota; Flavobacteriia; Flavobacteriales; Weeksellaceae.